RNAcentral lists this ribosomal RNA (468 nucleotides) under uncultured bacterium. RNAcentral's name for it is "partial 16S ribosomal RNA". It matches the Rfam family "Bacterial small subunit ribosomal RNA", at positions 28 to 507 of the family's 1533-position model. The record is from RNAcentral.
GACGAACGCUGGCGGCGUGCUUAACACAUGCAAGUCGAACGGAAAGGCCCUGCUUUUGUGGGGUGCUCGAGUGGCGAACGGGUGAGUAACACGUGAGUAACCUGCCCUUGACUUUGGGAUAACUUCAGGAAACUGGGGCUAAUACCGGAUAGGAGCUCCUGCUGCAUGGUGGGGGUUGGAAAGUUUCGGCGGAUGGGGAUGGACGCUCGGGUUAUCAGCUUGUUGGUGGGGUAGUGGCUUACCAAGGCUUCGACGGGUAGCCGGCAUGAGAGCGGGACCGGCCACAUUGGGACUGAGAUACGGCCCAGACUCGUACGGGAGGCAGCAGGGGGGAAUAUUGCACAGUGGGCGGAAGCCUGAUGCAGCAACGCCGCGUGCGGGAUGACGGCCUUCGGGUUGUAAACCGCUGUCGCCUGUGACGAAGCGUGAGUGACGGUAAUGGGUAAAGAAGCACCGGCUAACUACGUG